UACGUAGGUCCCGAGCGUUGUCCGGAUUUACUGGGCGUAAAGGGAGCGUAGGCGGACUUUUAAGUGAGAUGUGAAAUACUCGGGCUCAACUUGAGUGCUGCAUUUCAAACUGGAAGUCUAGAGUGCAGGAGAGGAGAAUGGAAUUCCUAGUGUAGCGGUGAAAUGCGUAGAGAUUAGGAAGAACCCCAGUGGCGAAGGCGAUUCUCUGGACUGUAACUGACGCUGAGGCUCGAAAGCGUGGGGAGCAAACAGG
RNAcentral lists this ribosomal RNA (253 nucleotides) under uncultured bacterium. RNAcentral's name for it is "partial 16S ribosomal RNA". It matches the Rfam family "Bacterial small subunit ribosomal RNA", at positions 524 to 776 of the family's 1533-position model. The record is from RNAcentral.